Molecule: ribosomal RNA, 1439 nt
Filed under: uncultured bacterium
Lineage: Bacteria
Description: bacterial SSU rRNA
Rfam family: Bacterial small subunit ribosomal RNA
Source: RNAcentral
GAGUUUGAUCCUGGCUCAGGAUGAACGCUGGCGGCGUGCUUAACACAUGCAAGUCGAGCGGACAGAUGGGAGCUUGCUCCCUGAUGUUAGUGGCGGACGGGUGAGUAACACGUGGGUAACCUGCCUGUAAGACUGGGAUAACUCCGGGAAACCGGGGCUAAUACCGGAUGGUUGUUUGAACCGCAUGGUUCAAACAUAAAAGUCGCUUCGGGGUCAGGGAUGGGCUCGCGGCCUAUCAGCUUGUUGGUGAGGUAAUGGCUCACCAAGGCGUCGACGGGUAGCCGGCCUGAGAGGGUGACCGGCCACACUGGGACUGAGACACGGCCCAGACUCCUACGGGAGGCAGCAGUGGGGAAUAUUGCACAAUGGGCGAAGCCUGAUGCAGCAACGCCGCGUGAGGGAUGACGGCCUUCGGGUUGUAAACCUCUUUUAGCAGGGAAGAAGGCAAAGUGACGGUACCUGCAGAAAAAGCGCCGGCUAACUACGUGCCAGCAGCCGCGGUAAUACGUAGGGUGCAAGCGUUAUCCGGAAUUAUUGGGCGUAAAGAGCUCGUAGGCGGUUUGUCGCGUCUGCUGUGAAAACUGGAGGCUCAACCUCCAGCCUGCAGUGGGUACGGGCAGACUAGAGUGCGGUAGGGGAGAUUGGAAUUCCUGGUGUAGCGGUGGAAUGCGCAGAUAUCAGGAGGAACACCGAUGGCGAAGGCAGAUCUCUGGGCCGUAACUGACGCUGAGGAGCGAAAGGGUGGGGAGCAAACAGGCUUAGAUACCCUGGUAGUCCACCCCGUAAACGUUGGGAACUAGUUGUGGGGUCCAUUCCACGGAUUCCGUGACGCAGCUAACGCAUUAAGUUCCCCGCCUGGGGAGUACGGCCGCAAGGCUAAAACUCAAAGGAAUUGACGGGGACCCGCACAAGCGGCGGAGCAUGCGGAUUAAUUCGAUGCAACGCGAAGAACCUUACCAAGGCUUGACAUAUACGAGAACGGGCCAGAAAUGGUCAACUCUUUGGACACUCGUAAACAGGUGGUGCAUGGUUGUCGUCAGCUCGUGUCGUGAGAUGUUGGGUUAAGUCCCGCAACGAGCGCAACCCUCGUUCUAUGUUGCCAGCACGUAAUGGUGGGAACUCAUGGGAUACUGCCGGGGUCAACUCGGAGGAAGGUGGGGAUGACGUCAAAUCAUCAUGCCCCUUAUGUCUUGGGCUUCACGCAUGCUACAAUGGCCGGUACAAAGGGCUGCAAUACCGUGAGGUGGAGCGAAUCCCAAAAAGCCGGUCCCAGUUCGGAUUGAGGUCUGCAACUCGACCUCAUGAAGUCGGAGUCGCUAGUAAUCGCAGAUCAGCAACGCUGCGGUGAAUACGUUCCCGGGUCUUGUACACACCGCCCGUCAAGUCAUGAAAGUCGGUAACACCUGAAGCCGGUGGCCCAACCCUUGUGGAGGGAGCCG